This 451-nucleotide ribosomal RNA is filed under the name Staphylococcus aureus. RNAcentral's name for it is "partial 23S ribosomal RNA". It matches the Rfam family "Bacterial large subunit ribosomal RNA", at positions 2472 to 2925 of the family's 2925-position model. The record is from RNAcentral. Lineage: Bacteria; Bacillati; Bacillota; Bacilli; Caryophanales; Staphylococcaceae.
GGAUAACAGGCUUAUCUCCCCCAAGAGUUCACAUCGACGGGGAGGUUUGGCACCUCGAUGUCGGCUCAUCGCAUCCUGGGGCUGUAGUCGGUCCCAAGGGUUGGGCUGUUCGCCCAUUAAAGCGGUACGCGAGCUGGGUUCAGAACGUCGUGAGACAGUUCGGUCCCUAUCCGUCGUGGGCGUAGGAAAUUUGAGAGGAGCUGUCCUUAGUACGAGAGGACCGGGAUGGACAUACCUCUGGUGUACCAGUUGUCGUGCCAACGGCAUAGCUGGGUAGCUAUGUGUGGACGGGAUAAGUGCUGAAAGCAUCUAAGCAUGAAGCCCCCCUCAAGAUGAGAUUUCCCAACUUCGGUUAUAAGAUCCCUCAAAGAUGAUGAGGUUAAUAGGUUCGAGGUGGAAGCAUGGUGACAUGUGGAGCUGACGAAUACUAAUCGAUCGAAGACUUAAUCAA